AUGCCAGAACGAAAGAGAGGCGUCAUUCUCAAGACGAGAUGCCCUCUCCGGUUGAAGCUAAACACAAAUGGAGCAUGGUGGGUGGUCACCAAAUAUGUCGAAGAACACAACCAUGACCUCAUAAAGAAGUUUGACCUAGUAAACUUUUUGAGUGCCCACAGAGGAUUCAGUCCCAUCGAGAAGAAAUUCAUAAGGUUGCUACAUGAUUGUAACAUCGGUCCACCAAGAAUGGUCCAAAUAUUGUCCCUGAUCCACAGCGGAGAUGGGAGCCUGAGUAGCAUGCCUUACAUACCAGCAGACAUCACUAACCUAAAGGAAAAUACCGUAAAGAGAGCAGGUUGGCUGACAUAG
This 351-nucleotide ribosomal RNA is filed under the name Triticum aestivum (bread wheat). RNAcentral's name for it is "partial small subunit ribosomal RNA". Lineage: Eukaryota; Viridiplantae; Streptophyta; Magnoliopsida; Poales; Poaceae. The record is from RNAcentral.